This 253-nucleotide ribosomal RNA is filed under the name uncultured bacterium. Its description in RNAcentral is "partial 16S ribosomal RNA". It matches the Rfam family "Bacterial small subunit ribosomal RNA", at positions 524 to 776 of the family's 1533-position model. The record is from RNAcentral.
UACGUAGGGUGCAAGCGUUGUCCGGAAUUAUUGGGCGUAAAGAGCUCGUAGGCGGUCUGUCGCGUCGGCUGUGAAAUCCCGAGGCUCAACCUCGGGUCUGCAGUCGAUACGGGCAAACUUGAGUGUUGCAGGGGAGACUGGAAUUCCUGGUGUAGCGGUGAAAUGCGCAGAUAUCAGGAGGAACACCGGUGGCGAAGGCGGGUCUCUGGGCAACAACUGACGCUGAGGAGCGAAAGCGUGGGGAGCGAACAGG